CUUUAGUUUCCAACAAGUUAUGCCGGCGACUCUAGGGAGGACCUUCCGGGGUCAAACCGGAGGAAGGUGGGGAUGACGUCCAAUCCUCAAGGCCCUUAAGGCCAGGGCUACACACGUGGUACCAAGGGCCGGUACACAAGGGUUACGAACCCGCGAAGGGGGCCAAUUCCCUAAAACACGUCGGCAGUUUGGAGUCUGCAAACUCGAGGCUUCCAUGAAGUUCGGAUG
RNAcentral lists this ribosomal RNA (228 nucleotides) under uncultured organism. RNAcentral describes it as "partial 16S ribosomal RNA". It matches the Rfam family "Bacterial small subunit ribosomal RNA", at positions 1109 to 1327 of the family's 1533-position model. The record is from RNAcentral.